This 253-nucleotide ribosomal RNA is filed under the name uncultured bacterium. RNAcentral describes it as "partial 16S ribosomal RNA". It matches the Rfam family "Bacterial small subunit ribosomal RNA", at positions 524 to 776 of the family's 1533-position model. The record is from RNAcentral.
UACGUAGGGGGCAAGCGCUGUCCGGAAUCAUUGGGCGUAAAGCGCGCGUAGGCGGCCCGGUAAGUCCGUUGUAAAAGUCAAAGGCUCAACCUUUGAAAGCCGAUGGAUACUGCCGGGCUAGAGUCCGGAAGAGGCGAGUGGAAUUCCUGGUGUAGCGGUGGAAUGCGCAGAUAUCAGGAGGAACACCAACAGCGAAGGCAGCUCGCUGGGACGGUAUUGACGCUGAGGCGCGAAAGCGUGGGGAGCAAACAGG